UACGUAGGUGGCAAGCGUUAUCCGGAAUUACUGGGCGUAAAGCGCACGCAGGCGGUCUUUUAAGUUUGACGUGAAAGCUCCCGGCUUAACUGGGAGAGGUCGUUGAAUACUGGGAGACUUGAGUUUAGGAGAGGGGUGUAGAAUUCCCGGUGUAGUGGUGGAAUGCGUAGAUAUCGGGGGGAAUACCAGUGGCGAAAGCGGCACCCUAGCCUUUGACUGACGCUCAUGUGCGAAAGCGUGGGGAGCGAAC
RNAcentral lists this ribosomal RNA (250 nucleotides) under uncultured bacterium. Its description in RNAcentral is "partial 16S ribosomal RNA". It matches the Rfam family "Bacterial small subunit ribosomal RNA", at positions 524 to 773 of the family's 1533-position model. The record is from RNAcentral.